UGGGGAAUAUUGGGCAAUGGGCGCAAGCCUGACCCAGCCAUGCCGCGUGAGUGAUGAAGGCCUUCGGGUUGUAAAGCUCUGUGGGGAAGGACGAAACAGGUUGUGGCUAAUAUCCACGACCCUUGACGGUACUUCCUUAGCAAGCACCGGCUAACUCCGUGCCAGCAGCCGCGGUAAUACGGAGGGUGCAAACGUUGCUCGGAAUCAUUGGGCGUAAAGCGCACGUAGGCGGCCCGUUAAGUCGGAUGUGAAAGCCCUGGGCUCAACCCAGGAAGUGCAUUCGAAACUGGCAGGCUUGAGUAUGGAAGAGGGUCGCGGAAUUCCCGGUGUAGAGGUGAAAUUCGUAGAUAUCGGGAGGAACACCAGUGGCGAAGGCGGCGACCUGGGCCAAUACUGACGCUGAGGUGCGAAAGCGUGGGGAGCAAACAG
RNAcentral lists this ribosomal RNA (429 nucleotides) under uncultured bacterium. Its description in RNAcentral is "bacterial SSU rRNA". It matches the Rfam family "Bacterial small subunit ribosomal RNA", at positions 355 to 775 of the family's 1533-position model. The record is from RNAcentral.